AUGUCGGAGCUCUUCAGCCAAAAGCUGACACUGAGCUGCUACGUGAGCAAGAGACACCUUGCCCAGAUGUUCGACUCAGAAAUACUCAUACAGCAAAAAUUGGUUGGAUAUGAAGAUUACAAAGUUAUUGAAGCUCAAAGACCUUCUGUAAUGCCUUUGGUUGUAAAAGUUUUCUCUUUCCUAAGGCAAGGUUCUUUUCUUUUCUUUUUUUAUUCAUCCUUCAUUUUCCAGUGUUUGUUCGGCUUCCCUCCUCAGAUCUGA
RNAcentral lists this long non-coding RNA (261 nucleotides) under Pan troglodytes (chimpanzee). RNAcentral describes it as "lncRNA (ENSPTRG00000054515.1)". Lineage: Eukaryota; Metazoa; Chordata; Mammalia; Primates; Hominidae. The record is from RNAcentral.